UACGUAGGGGGCAAGCGUUGUCCGGAUUUAUUGGGCGUAAAGAGCGUGUAGGCGGCCAGACAGGUCCGUUGUGAAAACUCGAGGCUCAACCUCGAGAUGUCGAUGGAAACCGUCUGGCUAGAGUCCGGAAGAGGAGUGUGGAAUUCCUGGUGUAGCGGUGAAAUGCGCAGAUAUCAGGAAGAACACCUAUGUCGAAGGCAGCACUCUGGGACGGUACUGACGCUGAGACGCGACAGCGUGGGGAGCAAACAGG
This 253-nucleotide ribosomal RNA is filed under the name uncultured bacterium. RNAcentral's name for it is "partial 16S ribosomal RNA". It matches the Rfam family "Bacterial small subunit ribosomal RNA", at positions 524 to 776 of the family's 1533-position model. The record is from RNAcentral.